RNAcentral lists this ribosomal RNA (396 nucleotides) under Mogibacterium timidum. Its description in RNAcentral is "bacterial SSU rRNA". It matches the Rfam family "Bacterial small subunit ribosomal RNA", at positions 28 to 407 of the family's 1533-position model. Lineage: Bacteria; Bacillati; Bacillota; Clostridia; Peptostreptococcales; Anaerovoracaceae. The record is from RNAcentral.
GAUGAACGCUGGCGGCGUGCCUAAUACAUGCAAGUCGAGCGAGAAGCUUGGAAAUGACGCUUCGGUUGAUUUUCCAAGCGGACAGCGGCGGACGGGUGAGUAACGCGUAGGCAACCUGCCCCUGACAGAGGGAUAGCCAUUGGAAACGAUGAUUAAAACCUCAUGACACCGUAGUAGCACAUGCUACAUCGGUCAAAGAUUUAUCGGUCAGGGAUGGGCCUGCGUCUGAUUAACUGGUUGGUGAGGUAACGGCUCACCAAGGUGACGAUCAGUAGCCGACCUGAGAGGGUGAUCGGCCACAUUGGAACUGAGACACGGUCCAAACUUCUACGGAAGGCAGCAGUAGGGAAUCUUGCACAAUGGGCGAAAGCCUGAUGCAGCAACGCCGCGUGAAAG